This 484-nucleotide long non-coding RNA is filed under the name Brachypodium distachyon (stiff brome). RNAcentral's name for it is "long non-coding RNA (BDIS_LNC004079)". Lineage: Eukaryota; Viridiplantae; Streptophyta; Magnoliopsida; Poales; Poaceae. The record is from RNAcentral.
CCAGUGAAGCAAUUGACCCAAACCCGUUGCCGUCCAGACUUCAUCAGAAUAAACAAAAGAAGUUGCAGAAAUUAUUAAAAACAGCUGUGCGUGCGUGUGCGUGUGUGUGUAAGAUCGAGAGAGGGAGAGUGGGAGUAGAGGCCGUUCCAAAGAGUACAGCUCAGGGUUUACGCGCAGAAAACGAACUCCAGAUCGCGACCUUCUUCUUCUCUGGCCGCUGUAGUAAAAUAAGCCAUCUCCGUGCAAUCAAAUAGCUUGGCAGUCCCAAAGAGCCGGGGAGAGCGUGAGAUAAAAAAAAAAGGGAAAACGCUGAGAAGAAAGAAGGCCAAGAAAACGGCUGCCAGUGCCAGUGCUGCUCGAUCCAGCUACAGUGCCGCCGGUCCAAUCCAACAACCGGCCGAUUGAGCCCUUGGGCACUGACAGACUCGCCUCCAGGCUCCAGCAGCAGCAGGAGGGGAGGUAAACGAAAAGAGCACAAGAGUAG